This 439-nucleotide ribosomal RNA is filed under the name uncultured bacterium. Its description in RNAcentral is "partial 16S ribosomal RNA". It matches the Rfam family "Bacterial small subunit ribosomal RNA", at positions 339 to 795 of the family's 1533-position model. The record is from RNAcentral.
CUACGGGGGGCUCCAGUGAGGAAUAUUGCACAAUGGGGGGAACCCUGAUGCAGCAACGCCGCGUGGAGGAUGACGCAUUUCGGUGUAUAAACUCCUUUUAUAUGUCAAGAAAAUGACGGUAGCAUAUGAAUAAGCACCGGCUAACUCCGUGCCAGCAGCCGCGGUAAUACGGAGGGUGCAAGCGUUACUCGGAAUCACUGGGCGUAAAGGACGCGUAGGCGGGCUUGUAAGUCAGGUGUGAAAUCCUACAGCUUAACUGUAGAACUGCACUUGAAACUACGAGCCUAGAGUAUGGGAGGGGCAGAUGGAAUUAGCGGUGUAGGGGUAAAAUCCGUAGAUAUCACUAGGAAUACCUAAAGCGAAGGCGAUCUGCUGGAACAUAACUGACGCUAAGGCGUGAAAGCGUGGGGAGCAAACAGGAUUAGAUACCCCUGUAGUC